This 384-nucleotide transfer-messenger RNA is filed under the name uncultured Acetatifactor sp. It matches the Rfam family "transfer-messenger RNA". Rfam says of the family: Bacterial tmRNA, also known as 10Sa RNA or SsrA, is named for its dual tRNA and mRNA-like properties. Its role is to liberate the mRNA from a stalled ribosome. To accomplish this part of the tmRNA is used as a reading frame that ends in a translation stop signal. Lineage: Bacteria; Bacillati; Bacillota; Clostridia; Lachnospirales; Lachnospiraceae. The record is from RNAcentral.
GGGGUAGUAAAGGUUUCGACAGGGGUCUUGCAGCUGGAGAAGCUAUCCGUUACGACACGUAAAUCGCAAAAUUUAAACUAAACGCUGAAGAUAAUACUCAGUUAGCACUUGCAGCCUAACCGCUGCUGGUGACGCCGCCUCAGGCGGCUCGUUCGCUCCGGGACACUCACAUUCCGGAAUCCGGGCGUCGACUAUGUGAGAAACGACACGCGGUAAGCUUUGCCCGCGCGGGCGUAUGAUGAAGCUACUCUGAGCAGCUGAUUGUCCGUUAUCUGCUGCAUCAGGGGAACAGGUGGGGGAGAGCCCCGCCGCAAAAACGGACUAUGAUAGUAGAAGGACAGGGAAUGGGCUUUUGGACGCGGGUUCGACUCCCGCCUACUCCAC